CAUUAUCUCAUGGGGUGUGUUCAUUUUUGUUAUGAACGCUGAGAGGCUUACGCCAACCCAUUGAACCUGAUCCAGAUCAUGCUGGCGUAGGAAUCGAGAUAGCAAGUCACU
Molecule: non-coding RNA, 111 nt
Filed under: Marinomonas spartinae
Lineage: Bacteria; Pseudomonadati; Pseudomonadota; Gammaproteobacteria; Oceanospirillales; Oceanospirillaceae
Description: TPP sequence
Rfam family: TPP riboswitch aptamer (THI element)
About the family: Vitamin B(1) in its active form thiamin pyrophosphate (TPP) is an essential coenzyme that is synthesised by coupling of pyrimidine and thiazole moieties in bacteria. The previously detected thiamin-regulatory element, thi box was extended, resulting in a new, highly conserved RNA secondary structure, the THI element, which is widely distributed in eubacteria and also occurs in some archaea.
Source: Rfam by way of RNAcentral